This 492-nucleotide ribosomal RNA is filed under the name uncultured bacterium. RNAcentral's name for it is "partial 16S ribosomal RNA". It matches the Rfam family "Bacterial small subunit ribosomal RNA", at positions 29 to 507 of the family's 1533-position model. The record is from RNAcentral.
AGUGAACGCUGGCGGUAGGCCUAACACAUGCAAGUCGAACGGCAGCACAGUAAGAGCUUGCUCUUACGGGUGGCGAGUGGCGGACGGGUGAGGAAUACAUCGGAAUCUACUUUUUCGUGGGGGAUAACGUAGGGAAACUUACGCUAAUACCGCAUACGACCUACGGGUGAAAGCAGGGGAUCUUCGGACCUUGCGCGAUUGAAUGAGCCGAUGUCGGAUUAGCUAGUUGGCGGGGUAAAGGCCCACCAAGGCGACGACCCGUAGCUGGUCUGAGAGGAUGAUCAGCCACACUGGAACUGAGACACGGUCCAGACUCCUACGGGAGGCAGCAGUGGGGAAAAUUGGACAAUGGGCGCAAGCCUGAUCCAGCCAUACCGCGUGGGUGAAGAAGGCCUUCGGGUUGUAAAGCCCUUUUGUUGGGAAAGAAAAGCAGCAGGUUAAUACCCCGCUGUUCUGACGGUACCCAAAGAAUAAGCACCGGCUAACUUCGUG